RNAcentral lists this ribosomal RNA (279 nucleotides) under uncultured bacterium. RNAcentral describes it as "partial 16S ribosomal RNA". It matches the Rfam family "Bacterial small subunit ribosomal RNA", at positions 506 to 784 of the family's 1533-position model. The record is from RNAcentral.
UGCCAGCAGCCGCGGUAAUACGGAGGGUGCAACCGUUAUCCGGAUUUAUUGGGUUUAAAGGGUACAUAGGCGGAAUAUUAAGUCAGUGGUGAAAUCCUGCGGCUCAACCGUAGAACUGCCAUUGAUACUGAUAUUCUUGAAUAUAGUUGAGGUAGGCGGAAUGUGUAAUGUAGCGGUGAAAUGCUUAGAUAUUACACAGUACACCGAUUGCGAAGGCAGCUUACUAAACUAUUAUUGACGCUGAUGUACGAAAGCGUGGGGAGCGAACAGGAUUAGAUA